This 880-nucleotide ribosomal RNA is filed under the name uncultured archaeon. Its description in RNAcentral is "bacterial SSU rRNA". It matches the Rfam family "Archaeal small subunit ribosomal RNA", at positions 18 to 885 of the family's 1478-position model. The record is from RNAcentral.
GCCCUUCGACUGCUAUUUGGGUGAGAAUAAGCCAUGCGAGUUGAAUGGGAUACCUAAAGUUCCCAUAGCAAACUGCUCAGUAACACAUGAUCAACUUACCCUAUAGAGAAAAAUAACCUCGGGAAACUGUGGAUAAUGUUUCAUAAUUGAAUUGGCUUGGAAAAGUUUUUCAAUGAAAAGGAUAAAAAAAAUGGUUUUUAUCUGCUAUAGGAUAGGAUCGUGUUCGAUUAUGGUUGUUGGUGAGAUAAUGGCUCACCAAGCCGAUAAUCGAUAGGGGCCGUGAGAGCGGGAGCCCCGAGAUGGGUACUGAGACAACGACCCAGGCCUUACGAGGCGCAGCAGGCGCGGAACCUCCGCAAUACACGAAAGUGUGACGGGGUUACCCAAAGUGUUCAAUAGAACUGUGGUAGGUGAGUAAUGUCCCCUACUAGAAAGGAGAGGGCAAGGCUGGUGCCAGCCGCCGCGGUAAAACCAGCUCUUCAAGUGGUCGGGAUAAUUAUUGGGCUUAAAGUGUCCGUAGCCGGUUUAGUAAGUUCCUGGUAAAAUCGGGUAGCUUAACUAUCUGCAUGCUAGGAAUACUGCUAUACUAGAGGGCGGGAGAGGUCUGAGGUACUACAGGGGUAGGGGUGAAAUCUUAUAAUCCUUGUAGGACCACCAGUGGCGAAGGCGUCAGACUGGAACGCGCCUGACGGUGAGGGACGAAAGCCAGGGGAGCGAACCGGAUUAGAUACCCGGGUAGUCCUGGCCGUAAACGAUGCAUACUAGGUGAUGGUACGGCCAUGAGCCGUAUCAGUGCCGUAGGGAAACCGUUAAGUGUGCCGCCUGGGAAGUACGGUCGCAAGGCUAAAACUUAAAGGAAUUGGCGGGGGAGCACAAGGGC